This 1591-nucleotide small RNA is filed under the name Pan troglodytes (chimpanzee). RNAcentral's name for it is "processed transcript". Lineage: Eukaryota; Metazoa; Chordata; Mammalia; Primates; Hominidae. The record is from RNAcentral.
CUCUUAUAUUCCCUCCUGUGUCUGGCCUUGCCCCAAGUACGUGAUGCUUGAGCAGCUAAAGGUGAUGCGGGGCACCUCGCCCAUGCCCCCAGCCCCUGUGCCAGGCCUUUCUCCCUGGGCCUCCGCCUCCCGGGACCUGGUUCCCACCACCUGCCUUCCUCCCAUGCUGCCCUCCUCCUCGUUCGCUUCCAUCACGCCUUCACCUAAGAUGGAAAAGCUGCUGCUCCCUGCUGUAGACUUAGAGCAGUGGUACCAGGAGCUGAUGGCCGGGCUGGGGACUGGCCCCGCUGCAGCCUCCCCUCACUCUUCUCCCCCGCCUCUGCCCGCCAAAGCUUCCCGUCAACUGCAGGUUUACCGCUCCAAGAUGGAUGGCGAGGCCACCAGCCCCCUUCCCCAGACCCGCAGUGGCCCCCUCCCCUCCUCCUCUGGCUCUUCCUCCUCCUCCUCCCAGCUCAGCGUGGCUACCCUGGGGCGUAGCCCCUCCCCAAAGAGCGCUCUACUCACCCAGAAUGGCACGGGCAGCCUUCCUCGCAACCUGGCAGCCACACUGCAGGACAUCGAGACCAAGCGCCAACUAGCUCUGCAGCAGAAGGGACAACAGGUGAUUGAAGAGCAGCGGCGGCGACUGGCUGAGCUGAAGCAGAAAGCGGCAGCUGAGGCACAGUGCCAGUGGGAUGCCCUUCAUGGGGCAGCACCCUUCCCAGCGGGCCCCUCGGGCUUCCCCCCUCUCAUGCACCACUCUAUCCUACACCACCUGCCUGCGGGGCGGGAGCGUGGGGAGGAGGGUGAGCACGCCUACGAUACGCUGAGUCUGGAGAGCUCUGACAGCAUGGAGACCAGCAUCUCCACCGGGGGCAACUCGGCCUGCUCCCCUGACAACAUGUCCAGCGCGAGUGGUCUGGACAUGGGGAAGAUCGAGGAGAUGGAGAAGAUGCUGAAAGAGGCUCAUGCAGAGAAGAACCGGCUCAUGGAGUCGAGGGAGCGGGAGAUGGAGCUGCGGCGGCAGGCCCUGGAGGAGGAGCGGCGGAGGCGUGAGCAGGUAGAACGGAGGCUGCAGAGUGAGAGUGCCCGGAGGCAGCAGCUGGUCGAGAAGGAGGUCAAGAUGCGGGAGAAACAAUUUUCCCAGGCACGACCCCUGACCCGCUACCUGCCAAUCCGGAAGGAGGACUUUGACCUGAAGACACAUAUUGAGUCAUCGGGCCAUGGUGUUGAUACCUGCCUGCACGUGGUGCUCAGCAGCAAGGUCUGCCGUGGCUACUUGGUCAAGAUGGGCGGCAAGAUUAAAUCAUGGAAGAAGCGCUGGUUUGUCUUCGACCGGCUCAAGCGCACCCUUUCCUAUUAUGUGGACAAGCAUGAGACGAAGCUGAAGGGAGUCAUCUAUUUCCAGGCCAUUGAGGAAGUGUACUACGACCACCUGCGCAGUGCAGCCAAGAGCCCGAACCCAGCCCUCACCUUCUGCGUAAAGACCCAUGACCGACUGUACUACAUGGUGGCCCCAUCUGCAGAGGCCAUGCGUAUCUGGAUGGAUGUCAUUGUCACAGGGGCUGAGGGCUACACUCAGUUCAUGAACUAACUGCCAUGGGCCUCCUGG